GGAGCAGGAGGCUGCAGGGCUCUGGAGGGAGGCUGUGGGGAGAUGGACUCCUGCCUUUUUUCCUGCCUUGUGUCCAGGGGAGGGGCCUUGAGGCCAGAGGCUGCCCACAGCCUGGUCCUGUGGGCGUGUGUCUUUUAAUUACAGAUGUAGCUCCAGCGACACUUCACUGCAAGGCGUGUGGGUGGGGAUGGAAUGUCAGAAGGAAAACAGGAGACAAGAAAACAGAGAUAGGACGGGCCAGAAAUAGUACAGGCCAGGGUGAGAUAGCAGCGGCCAGUGGUGGUGGAGGGAGAGGCUGGAGGAGGGUCUGUCGAAACCUCUCCAGAGAAUGCCUGUCCCAGGCUGCCCCUCCUUAUUCACCCCAAGCCCCGCAAGUUGAAACUCCAGGACCGGUGGCAUCUAGAUCGGGCUCCAGAGCUGGUUCACCAACUCCCUAAGCAACACCCUCCUCCUGAGUGGGGAGGGGUAGCCGAGCCUUUGCGACCUGAGUCACCCGCUUCCUGCUCCUGGUCUGGGCGACUCCAUGCACAGGCUGACACAGCUGGGGCCCCACCUGCCCUGCCAGCCUGUCCCGCUCCUCCCUCUUUCCACAAGCCAGGAGAGAUGCCUGCCCUGACAAGGCAUGCUUCCCACGGAGAGGCCAUCCCUCUCACGCGCACACACGGCUGGAGGCAGCCAUUUCUCCCUGACCUGUGGAGAGCCUUGGGAAGAGGAAGAAGGCAUAGUCUAAGCGGAGCCCCCUUUUCCCUGCAUCUAUGAAGAAACUGCGGCUGGAGCCAGGAGAGGGACUUCCCCAAGAUCACACAAGAAAAUUCCUGGCAGGGCUGGGACUUGAACCUUGGUCUUCUGCCAGCCAGUUCACCUCCCCCACCAAUGUCUUUAAGCGCUGGACUCCACCUGGCUGAGAACUGGGACAGGACUCAGCGGCCCCUGGCCUUGUACUUUCAUCCCAUCUUUCCCAGUCCCAUCCCACGGCCCCCAGGGAAUUUGAGAGUUGAGAUCCUUGAAUAUUUCAUCAGCACUUCAGCCUCCAGUGGAAGCAGCAGCCAACUUACAUCUCCUGGAGCAUUUAUGGCCCCAACAGAGAACCUGGAAGUAGCCAGGGGGAGGGGUGGGUGCAUGGGGGAGGGUGAAGCUUGGGCCAGGCUGCCAAUAAGGGUUGAUGGAGAAGAAGGCUGCCGGGUCCAAAGUGUGUGUGAGCUGGGGGAAAGGGGCUCCAAAGCCGGGAACAUUUCCGUGUUUGAGGAUACAGAUGUAUUUUAAAAUAAAUAAACAAAAUGGAGUUAUCAAAACAAUUAUACGCAAGGUUAAAGUCAUAUGACAGGGUUUUCUGACUUCA
RNAcentral lists this long non-coding RNA (1339 nucleotides) under Homo sapiens (human). RNAcentral describes it as "HSALNT0240693". Lineage: Eukaryota; Metazoa; Chordata; Mammalia; Primates; Hominidae. The record is from RNAcentral.